RNAcentral lists this transfer RNA (71 nucleotides) under Candidatus Parcubacteria bacterium. RNAcentral describes it as "tRNA-Arg". It matches the Rfam family "tRNA". Rfam says of the family: Transfer RNA (tRNA) molecules are approximately 80 nucleotides in length. Lineage: Bacteria; Candidatus Parcubacteria. The record is from RNAcentral.
GCCCUCAUAGCUCAAGGGAAGAGCGUCUCCGUCCUAAGGAGAAGAUGGAGGUUCGAUUCCUCCUGAGGGCA